AAAGAAACCAACAGGGAUUGCCCCAGUAACGGCGAGUGAAGCGGCAAAAGCUCAAAUUUGAAAUCUGGCUCCGUUCCGGGGUCCGAGUUGUAAUUUGCAGAGGAUGCUUUGGGUGCACCCGCGGCGUAAGUCCCUUGGAACAGGGCGUCACAGAGGGUGAGAAUCCCGUCUUGAGUCGCUGGCGUGUGCCCGUGCAAAGCUCCUUCGACGAGUCGAGUUGUUUGGGAAUGCAGCUCUAAUUGGGUGGUAAAUUUCAUCUAAAGCUAAAUACUGGCCGGAGACCGAUAGCGAACAAGUAGAGUGAUCGAAAGGUUAAAAGCACCUUGAAAAGGGAGUUAAAUAGCACGUGAAAUUGUUGAAAGGGAAGCGCUUGCAGCCAGACUCGGGCGCGGAGGCUCAGCGGGCAUGUUUGCCCGUGUACUCCUUCGCGCCCGGGCCAGCAUCAGUUUUGGCGGCCGGUCAAAGGCCCCCGGGAUGUAUCGUCCUCCGGGACGUCUUAUAACCGGGGGUGCAAUGCGGCCAGCCGGGACUGAGGAACGCGCUCCGGCACGGAUGCUGGCGU
This 562-nucleotide ribosomal RNA is filed under the name Malbranchea aurantiaca. RNAcentral describes it as "eukaryotic LSU rRNA". It matches the Rfam family "Eukaryotic large subunit ribosomal RNA", at positions 58 to 632 of the family's 3401-position model. Lineage: Eukaryota; Fungi; Ascomycota; Eurotiomycetes; Onygenales; Malbrancheaceae. The record is from RNAcentral.